AGAGUUUGAUCAUGGCUCAGAUUGAACGCUGGCGGCAGGCCUAACACAUGCAAGUCGAGCGGUAGCACAGAGAGCUUGCUCUCGGGUGACGAGCGGCGGACGGGUGAGUAAUGUCUGGGAAACUGCCUGAUGGAGGGGGAUAACUACUGGAAACGGUAGCUAAUACCGCAUAAUGUCGCAAGACCAAAGUGGGGGACCUUCGGGCCUCAUGCCAUCAGAUGUGCCCAGAUGGGAUUAGCUAGUAGGUGGGGUAACGGCUCACCUAGGCGACGAUCCCUAGCUGGUCUGAGAGGAUGACCAGCCACACUGGAACUGAGACACGGUCCAGACUCCUACGGGAGGCAGCAGUGGGGAAUAUUGCACAAUGGGCGCAAGCCUGAUGCAGCCAUGCCGCGUGUGUGAAGAAGGCCUUCGGGUUGUAAAGCACUUUCAGCGGGGAGGAAGGCGUUAAGGUUAAUAACCUUGGCGAUUGACGUUACCCGCAGAAGAAGCACCGGCUAACUCCGUGCCAGCAGCCGCGGUAAUACGGAGGGUGCAAGCGUUAAUCGGAAUUACUGGGCGUAAAGCGCACGCAGGCGGUCUGUCAAGUCGGAUGUGAAAUCCCCGGGCUCAACCUGGGAACUGCAUUCGAAACUGGCAGGCUAGAGUCUUGUAGAGGGGGGUAGAAUUCCAGGUGUAGCGGUGAAAUGCGUAGAGAUCUGGAGGAAUACCGGUGGCGAAGGCGGCCCCCUGGACAAAGACUGACGCUCAGGUGCGAAAGCGUGGGGAGCAAACAGGAUUAGAUACCCUGGUAGUCCACGCUGUAAACGAUGUCGAUUUGGAGGUUGUGCCCUUGAGGCGUGGCUUCCGGAGCUAACGCGUUAAAUCGACCGCCUGGGGAGUACGGCCGCAAGGUUAAAACUCAAAUGAAUUGACGGGGGCCCGCACAAGCGGUGGAGCAUGUGGUUUAAUUCGAUGCAACGCGAAGAACCUUACCUGGUCUUGACAUCCACAGAACUUAGCAGAGAUGCUUUGGUGCCUUCGGGAACUGUGAGACAGGUGCUGCAUGGCUGUCGUCAGCUCGUGUUGUGAAAUGUUGGGUUAAGUCCCGCAACGAGCGCAACCCUUAUCCUUUGUUGCCAGCGGUUAGGCCGGGAACUCAAAGGAGACUGCCAGUGAUAAACUGGAGGAAGGUGGGGAUGACGUCAAGUCAUCAUGGCCCUUACGACCAGGGCUACACACGUGCUACAAUGGCAUAUACAAAGAGAAGCGACCUCGCGAGAGCAAGCGGACCUCAUAAAGUAUGUCGUAGUCCGGAUUGGAGUCUGCAACUCGACUCCAUGAAGUCGGAAUCGCUAGUAAUCGUAGAUCAGAAUGCUACGGUGAAUACGUUCCCGGGCCUUGUACACACCGCCCGUCACACCAUGGGAGUGGGUUGCAAAAGAAGUAGGUAGCUUAACCUUCGGGAGGGCGCUUACCACUUUGUGAUUCAUGACUGGGGUGAAGUCGUAACAAGGUAACCGUAGGGGAACCUGCGGUUGGAUCACCU
RNAcentral lists this ribosomal RNA (1528 nucleotides) under Klebsiella pneumoniae MGH 48. RNAcentral describes it as "bacterial SSU rRNA". It matches the Rfam family "Bacterial small subunit ribosomal RNA". Lineage: Bacteria; Pseudomonadati; Pseudomonadota; Gammaproteobacteria; Enterobacterales; Enterobacteriaceae. The record is from RNAcentral.